Molecule: ribosomal RNA, 320 nt
Filed under: uncultured bacterium
Lineage: Bacteria
Description: bacterial SSU rRNA
Rfam family: Bacterial small subunit ribosomal RNA
Source: RNAcentral
UGACGGUAUCUAACCAGCAAGUCACGGCUAACUACGUGCCAGCAGCCGCGGUAAUACGUAGGUGGCAAGCGUUAUCCGGAUUUAUUGGGCGUAAAGGGAACGCAGGCGGUUUUUUAAGUCUGAUGUGAAAGCCUUCGGCUUAACCGGAGAAUAGCAUUGGAAACUGGAAGACUUGAGUACAGAAGAGGGCAGUGGAACUCCAUGUGUAGCGGUGGAAUGCGUAGAUAUAUGGAAGAACACCAGUGGCGAAGGCGGCUGCCUGGUCUGUAACUGACGCUGAGACUCGAAAGCAUGGGUAGCGAACAGGAUUAGAUACCCUG